Molecule: ribosomal RNA, 305 nt
Filed under: uncultured bacterium
Lineage: Bacteria
Description: bacterial SSU rRNA
Rfam family: Bacterial small subunit ribosomal RNA
Source: RNAcentral
ACCUACGGGACGCAGCAGUGGGGGAUAUUGCACAAUGGGGGAAACCCUGAUGCAGCGACGCCGCGUGGGUGAAGAAGUAUUUCGGUAUGUAAAGCCCUAUCAGCAGGGAAGAAAGAAGACGGUACCUGACUAAGAAGCCCCGGCUAACUACGUGCCAGCAGCCGCGGUAAUACGUAGGGGGCGAGCGUUAUCCGGAUUCACUGGGUGUAAAGGGAGCGUAGACGGUUAAGUAAGUCUGAAGUGAAAGGCCGGGGCCCAACCCCGGGACUGCUCUGGACACUAUUGAACUUGAGUGCAGGAGAGGG